CCUACGGGAGGCAGCAGUGGGGAAUAUUGGACAAUGGGGGGAACCCUGAUCCAGCCAUGCCGCGUGUGUGAAGAAGGCCCUCGGGUUGUAAAGCACUUUCAGUGAGGAAGAACGCCUGGUGGUUAAUACCCAUCAGGAAAGACAUCACUCACAGAAGAAUCACCGGCUAACUCCGUGCCAGCAGCCGCGGUAAUACGGAGGGUGCGAGCGUUAAUCGGAAUUACUGGGCGUAAAGCGCGCGUAGGUGGCUUGAUAAGCCGGUUGUGAAAGCCCCGGGCUCAACCUGGGAACGGCAUCCGGAACUGCCAAGCUAGAGUGCAGGAGAGGAAGGUAGAAUUCCCGGUGUAGCGGUGAAAUGCGUAGAGAUCGGGAGGAAUACCAGUGGCGAAGGCGGCCUUCUGGACUGACACUGACACUGAGGUGCGAAAGCGUGGGUAGCAAACAGGAUUAGAUACCCCUGUAGUC
RNAcentral lists this ribosomal RNA (465 nucleotides) under Vreelandella stevensii. Its description in RNAcentral is "partial 16S ribosomal RNA". It matches the Rfam family "Bacterial small subunit ribosomal RNA", at positions 338 to 795 of the family's 1533-position model. Lineage: Bacteria; Pseudomonadati; Pseudomonadota; Gammaproteobacteria; Oceanospirillales; Halomonadaceae. The record is from RNAcentral.